Molecule: ribosomal RNA, 377 nt
Filed under: uncultured bacterium
Lineage: Bacteria
Description: bacterial SSU rRNA
Rfam family: Bacterial small subunit ribosomal RNA
Source: RNAcentral
UAAUACGUAGGGGGCGAGCGUUGUCCGGAAUCAUUGGGCGUAAAGAGCGCGUAGGCGGCCAGAUAAGUCUGGUGUGAAAGUCACAGGCUCAACCUGUGAAUGCCGCUGGAAACUGUCUGGCUUGAGUCCGGGAGGGGCGAGUGGAAUUCCUGGUGUAGCGGUGAAAUGCGCAGAUAUCAGGAGGAACACCAAUGGCGAAGGCAGCUCGCUGGAACGGUACUGACGCUGAGGCGCGAAAGCGUGGGGAGCAAACAGGAUUAGAUACCCUGGUAGUCCACGCUGUAAACGAUGGGCACUAGGUGUGGGAGGUGUCGACUCCUUCCGUGCCGUAGCUAACGCACUAAGUGCCCCGCCUGGGGAGUACGGCCGCAAGGCUA